RNAcentral lists this ribosomal RNA (305 nucleotides) under uncultured bacterium. Its description in RNAcentral is "bacterial SSU rRNA". It matches the Rfam family "Bacterial small subunit ribosomal RNA", at positions 337 to 658 of the family's 1533-position model. The record is from RNAcentral.
UCCUACGGGACGCAGCAGUGGGGAAUAUUGCACAAUGGGGGAAACCCUGAUGCAGCGACGCCGCGUGAGUGAAGAAGUAUUUCGGUAUGUAAAGCUCUAUCAGCAGGGAAGAAGAAAGACGGUACCUGAGUAAGAAGCCCCGGCUAACUACGUGCCAGCAGCCGCGGUAAUACGUAGGGGGCAAGCGUUAUCCGGAAUUACUGGGUGUAAAGGGAGCGUAGACGGUAAUGCAAGUCUGGAGUGAAAGGCGGGGGCCCAACCCCCGGACUGCUCUGGAAACUGUGUAACUGGAGUGCAGGAGAGGC